Molecule: non-coding RNA, 1016 nt
Organism: Xyrichtys novacula (pearly razorfish)
Lineage: Eukaryota; Metazoa; Chordata; Actinopteri; Labriformes; Labridae
Source: the annotation of a GenBank genome assembly
GAUGCAGAGUCAGCAUACGACGGCGCCGUAGAAGAAGAAGGAGAACGAGCAGGUGAAUGCUGAGCAGAAGUUCCUGGAAGACAGAAGUUUAACCAGGUCAGAGAGCCGCAGCACAGUUCGGUAAAUAUAACCACCGACUGUGGAACAUUUUACAACGGGCAUGCUUUCAGGGUAUGAAUAUGUAGUUAAUGUCAGGUGAGAGGUUACUGCAAUACACGAUGGGUAUAGGACCCCUUAAACCAACCCUGACAACAAAGUGUCUCCCACGAGGGUAGUUCCUCCUGAUCUGCGUCACACACAUUUUGCGUUCUGGAGAAAAUCUAACCUCUAUGUUGUCCUCUUUCUGUUGACGUGUACAUCAGAAACCAGGGACCAUGGACAUCUCAUACCUGACUUCUUUAGGUGAGAUCUGAGACACCCUGAGAGGGAAGCACACCUGCACCUGCUGCUUUCUCUGGGACAGAUACAGUUAAUCCAUUAAGAACACAAAGCUGAGACACUACAACGCCUCACAGAGAGGUCAUCCAAGGAAAAAAGGUGCCACUAUCUCCAACGAACUUUAUCAGUUUGAUCAGGAAACUCAGGAAACUCAUCAAAAAUUAACUUUGGUUGAACUUGAGACAACUUUUACAGGCAAUAUAACUGCAACUUUUACAGACUUUGAGGCAAUGCAGUGACUCCCAUAUUGUAGUCGUGUCUGUUUUUAAUGCAGUACCUCCUGAGGGCUCAAAAAUCACGGCUAUCCGACAUUAUUUUUGGCCUUGUCAGAUUGUUUUUAUGUACUGUAGAGGAUUAAAUCGACUAAAUCUUGAUAUUUGACACUCGCGAACUUUAUUCUGAAAUGACUGAACUGUUUGCCCAUGCAGUCUCUCACAGAGUGGUGAACUUCUUCCCAUCUUUACUUUCUCUCUGAAUGUCCUUUUAUACCCAACAGGGGCGGACUGGGACCAGGCAACACCAGGCCACCAGGAAUCGUCCCGGUGAUCCAGAUGGUCCAGUCCACCACUGAUACCCAG